UUAAAAACUAGGAAAAAGGAAAGUAACAUAGAGGACGUUUACAGAGAGAAAAGGAAGCUGAGAACUUUUCAUCAAGAAUUUGUGUGAAGUGCCCUUUGGAGUUGAAGUCUGAACAUAGGCAUAUCAUUUUACAUCUGCCUAAGUAAGAUUCUCCGGGUUCGCCCGUUACAGUGAUACGGCAUUUUAUGUGCCUGAGUUGAGAGGGAUUAAUUAUUUAAUCCAAUUAGAGUGGAACCGCGAAUUUUACUUCGUCUCUAUA
Molecule: non-coding RNA, 259 nt
Filed under: Clostridium chromiireducens
Lineage: Bacteria; Bacillati; Bacillota; Clostridia; Eubacteriales; Clostridiaceae
Description: T-box sequence
Rfam family: T-box leader
About the family: Uncharged tRNA acts as the effector for transcription antitermination of genes in the T-box leader family. T-boxes are found upstream of many aminoacyl-tRNA synthetase genes and some amino acid biosynthetic genes usually in Gram-positive bacteria.
Source: RNAcentral